Molecule: ribosomal RNA, 440 nt
Filed under: uncultured bacterium
Lineage: Bacteria
Description: partial 16S ribosomal RNA
Rfam family: Bacterial small subunit ribosomal RNA
Source: RNAcentral
CCUACGAGAGGCAGCAGUGGGGGAUAUUGCACAAUGGGGGAAACCCUGAUGCAGCGACGCCGCGUGUGGGAAGACGGUCCUCUGGAUUGUAAACCACUGUCCCCAGGGACGAAGAUGACGGUACCUGGGGAGGAAGCUCCGGCUAACUACGUGCCAGCAGCCGCGGGAAUACGUAGGGAGCGAGCGUUGUCCGGAAUUACUGGGUGUAAAGGGAGCGUAGGCGGGACUGCAAGUUGGGUGUCAAAUCUACCGGCUCAACCGGUAGCCGCACUCAAAACUGCAGUUCUUGAGUGAAGUAGAGGCAGGCGGAAUUCCUAGUGUAGCGGUGAAAUGCGUAGAUAUUAGGAGGAACACCAGUGGCGAAGGCGGCCUGCUGGGCUUUUACUGACGCUGAGGCUCGAAAGUGUGGGGAGCAAACAGGAUUAGAUACCCCGGUAGUC